Molecule: small nuclear RNA, 162 nt
Organism: Hibiscus syriacus
Lineage: Eukaryota; Viridiplantae; Streptophyta; Magnoliopsida; Malvales; Malvaceae
Product: U1 spliceosomal RNA
Exons: 1
Source: RefSeq, a predicted model, not a curated record
AUAUAUACCUGGAUGGGGUCGAUGGGUGGUCAUCAAGGCCCAUGUCUUAGGCUAUUGACCUACAUUGCACUUGGGAGGGGCGCUUGCCUACUGUAUCCCCAAAGUGGGAGAGCCUAUGUCAUAAUUUAUGGUAGUUGGGGCCUGUGUUCACGCAUCCCCUAU